AGUUUGAUCCUGGCUCAGGACGAACGCUCUUUGGCGUGCCUAAUACAUGCAAGUCGAACGGAUUUGCCUAGAUGAUUUUAGUGCUUGCACUAAAUGAAACUAGAUACAAGCGAGCGGCGGACGGGUGAGUAACACGUGGGUAACCUGCCCAAGAGACUGGGAUAACACCUGGAAACAGAUGCUAAUACCGGAUAACAACACUAGACGCAUGUCUAGAGUUUGAAAGAUGGUUCUGCUAUCACUCUUGGAUGGACCUGCGGUGCAUUAGCUAGUUGGUAAGGUAACGGCUUACCAAGGCAAUGAUGCAUAGCCGAGUUGAGAGACUGAUCGGCCACAUUGGGACUGAGACACGGCCCAAACUCCUACGGGAGGCAGCAGUAGGGAAUCUUCCACAAUGGACGAAAGUCUGAUGGAGCAACGCCGCGUGAGUGAAGAAGGGUUUCGGCUCGUAAAGCUCUGUUGGUAGUGAAGAAAGAUAGAGGUAGUAACUGGCCUUUAUUUGACGGUAAUUACUUAGAAAGUCACGGCUAACUACGUGCCAGCAGCCGCGGUAAUACGUAGGUGGCAAGCGUUGUCCGGAUUUAUUGGGCGUAAAGCGAGUGCAGGCGGUUCAAUAAGUCUGAUGUGAAAGCCUUCGGCUCAACCGGAGAAUUGCAUCAGAAACUGUUGAACUUGAGUGCAGAAGAGGAGAGUGGAACUCCAUGUGUAGCGGUGGAAUGCGUAGAUAUAUGGAAGAACACCAGUGGCGAAGGCGGCUCUCUGGUCUGCAACUGACGCUGAGGCUCGAAAGCAUGGGUAGCGAACAGGAUUAGAUACCCUGGUAGUCCAUGCCGUAAACGAUGA
This 843-nucleotide ribosomal RNA is filed under the name uncultured bacterium. RNAcentral's name for it is "bacterial SSU rRNA". It matches the Rfam family "Bacterial small subunit ribosomal RNA", at positions 10 to 812 of the family's 1533-position model. The record is from RNAcentral.